Molecule: long non-coding RNA, 5529 nt
Organism: Musa acuminata AAA Group (dessert banana)
Lineage: Eukaryota; Viridiplantae; Streptophyta; Magnoliopsida; Zingiberales; Musaceae
Exons: 6
Source: RefSeq, a predicted model, not a curated record
CGAAUUUGUAUUUGGAAAUGUUUCACCAUACGUUUUCUCGACCGUCUCAAAGCAGCUUCCACCUUUGCGUCGUCGUGACGGUGGUGCGCCGACCCACAAUCUUCGCCGUGACCCACGAUUAAUGCUCCAUCGCCUAAUUUUUCUACACGAGAAGUGCUGUAGAAUGCAUCGCAAGUGUACUUCCUACGUGCCCUGGAAAGAGAAGCAUCGCGCGUUCAGGAUCAUAUGUUUGUGGUCAUGGGCUGGGGUCCUUGUGGAGGAGACGCCCAAGUAGUUCACCCAGGUUCACAAGCAAAAUCAGUGAGAAAGCAAACACAAAGUUGGAUAACAAAUCCAGCCUGAAUGAGAACCAUUCUACUGCAGAAAAAUCGUGAAACCAUGGCCUUGAGUAAUUAUCUAUGAGAUCAAGGUUUGUAUUGCUGAAACGGUCCUUCUGCCCGAAUGCUCUAAUAGUUGUAGCACCAGAGAAUGAUUCUGCAAAAUGAUGAAGGAUUGGAGAUCUUUGAAUUUCUGACAACCGAGCCAAUUCUCUUGCGGUCGAAGGCGUUGAAUCAAAGAAGGACAUUGGAGCACGGAGAACAGAGUGGAGCAUCUUUUGGAAAAAUUUUUGAGAUGUCAAAAGGCCAACUUUUAUAAGUAUUGUUGCUCGGAUCAACGAACACAGUGAACAUCCAACUGAAAGAAGCACAUACACCAGAAAGAGAAACUUGAGCCCCACUGCAGAUUCUGUGGUUGCAGAUGAAGGGGAAGCCCAUGCCAUCCAAUAGUUGCUUGCUACUUGCAAUAUCUGGAAAAUUGAAUGUGCUAAGACUAUUAUGGGAACCAUGGCUCCUCCUUGUACCGCAGUCAGGUAUGCCCAAUAAACAUCUUUGGAAACACUUCCUUUCUCUCUCUCCUCAUCUUGUAUUAGCCUCCCUCUAUUAUCCAUAUCUUGACAAAGAUCAUGUUUAGACUCUUGGUUAUCAAUGAUUUGAAAUGAACUACUUGAUUUUUUCUCUUCAAUGGAAUCAUGACUGCUUGAUGCCUGUAGUAAAUUUAUCUCUGCAUCACGCGGCAAUUUGCUUGAGGCUUCUGUAUUGAGUAUUAAUUCAAGAGCGUCACUAUGAGCUCCAACUAACACCUCAAAUCCUGUGUUUUGCCUUAGAAGCUCAUCAAAAGCUCCAGCCUGAUCAAUUUUUCCAUUCUGCAUCACCUGUUAUAUCAAUUGCUAUUAGCUGGUCUUAAUCAUUCUACUUGACUACAUGACAAAUUAAGUAGGAAACAUGGGUAUGUUAGUUUUAUGGGGAUGCCACAAUGUUGUCCUGAUGAGUGCUUCUAGUUGAUAAUAUGUUAAUUGGUUUUGUUUUAUUAGAUGCAAUGGGAAGAACUAUAAUUCUUGCAGCAUAAUCAUUUGGGAAAAAGGAAUUUCAGCAGUUUUUCUUUACCAGGAUAAGGUCUGCUACUGGAAGAAAUUCAACUUGAUGUGUAACAUAAAGUAUGGUUUUGUCUCUAAGAGUACCCAUUAGACAAUCCUGCAGAAUAAGAAUAAAGCAUUUGUCAACAUAUGAAGGGGUUUUUCCACAACGAGAAAAUUGAAAGUGAUAAUUACUAGGUAUCUCAAACAUUUGGUCCUCGGAUUCAUUUAAAAAAUAUUUACUUUGGAACAUAUUAGAGAAGACAAGGAAUUUUGGAUGUAAAUCAUGCUGUAUGGUUUUCUCUCUCAAUUCUAGUCUUUUAUUAUGUUAUACAUUUGAGAGGGAAGAGAGGGGGGGAUCAUUUGUUUAAAGCAUAUUUCUGUAAUAUAACUUUGAAUAGUUGAGUGCCAGUAUGAGCAUCCAAAGCACUGAAAGGGUCAUCAAGAAGGUAUAUGUCGGCAUCCUGGUAGACUGCUCUAGCUAUUUGGAUCCUCUGCUUCUGUCCUCCACUCAUAUUUAUACCCCUCUCUCCAAUCUCUGUCAGGUCCCCAUUAGGGAAGAGCUCAAAAUCCUUUUUCAGUGCACAAACCUCAACUGUCUUUUCAUACUUUUCGCUGUCAAAAGGAUUUCCAAAGAUAAUAUUUUCUCUAACAUUUCCUGAUAUUAUCCAUGGGGAUUGAGAAACAUAUGCUUUGCUGCCACUAAUUUUCACCUUUCCUCCCAUCUUUGGUAGUUCUCCAAGGAUGCAAGACAGUAAACUAGACUUUCCUGAACCAACAGUACCACAAAUAGCCACCUUCAUUCCCCUAUGCACCUUCAACUGAAUAUUUUCAAGUGUGGGGUAUACGGAGUCUUUCUUCCAGCAAAAUAUUCCAUGAUCGAUCUCAACAUCAAUCUCUGUUUCUGUUCUUGGAACAAUUUCAACCACAUCAGAUUUCAUUUCAUCUUCUUGGAGGUACUUUGCUAUUCUGUCAGCUGAAACUUUUCCUUGUGCAAGUACUGAAAGCAAAUCAGGGAUGGUAAAGAUUGGCUCUUGCAGCAUUCUGAAUGUUGCCAAUGCAGACAAAACUCUUCCUGUUGUCAGAGGAAUUCCUAUUAGUAUGCAUGUUCCAAAUGUUGCCGCUGAUAUGAACAUAGGUGCUCCCCAGAAUAUGAAAGAUGAAAUUAGUUGUACUCUUUCAGACCUCCACAGCCAGUUGUACUCUGUGUUUCUCAAGGCUUCUAACUUGUGAAGGUAUUGUAUGUCCCAAGCUUGUAGUUUCAAAAUUUUCAUGUUUCGGAGGACUUCUGCGGUUGCUUUCAUUCGUUCAUCUUUAGCUUUCAUGAUGCUGCUCUGGAAUCUUUUUUGUGCUCUUGUUAUAGGAAUAUUGCAUGCCAUUACCAUUGUUGUUGCUGCUAAUCCAGCAAAAGAUCCCACUCCCAGAUUCUUAUGAAGAACAUAUAUUGCUAGUGAAAUCUGAACUGGAAGCAUCCAUAUGAUAUUUGAAUGCCACAUGAGGUCUGUGAUCCUUUGGAUAUCCACACUUAUGUAGUUGAUAAUCUCCCCACUUGUAUGGCUCUGCCGAGACUCACUUGAUAACUCAAGACCCUUUUUAUAUAUAUGGGAUAUUAGAGCAGCUCUUACACGCAUUGCAAGCUGUUGGGCUCCAAAAUUCCAUUGUCUCUGGCACACAGACUCCACAACUUUGGCACCUAGGAAUGUAAGUACAAGGACAUAACCACUUCUCAACCCAUGCUGCCUCUCUCCUCCUAAGAACUUAACAAAGUUGACAAUCAAUGAAGGUCCAACAUAAGAGGCCCCUGCUGCUACAACUGCAAAGCUUGCAUUGAUCGCUGCCUUUUUCCUAAUGAAUACAAAGAUUGCUCUGUAGAUAGAUGAAGUUCUCAAGCCGUAUCUUUCUUUGACAUUAUUCAGGCAGCUAUCAAACGAGUGGGACACAAACUCAGCAGAACUGUUUUUAUCAACAUCUGGUACUUCAUUCUGCUCCAGAGGCUUCCUUCUCCCAGUAGCAAAUAGUGGAUUAAUCCAUGAGAAGGUCAUAAGUUGUAAAAGAUUUGCACUUCCAUACAAAGAGCUCCUCUGGCUUUCAACAUGCUUCGCCUUUGAUGUUUGCACUUGCAAUAGUGGUUCCCUGAGACUGCCAGAGUCGCUGCUGAUCCCUGUUGUGCCUCUGACUGCAAUGACAAACAGUAAUAUGCAGGGAAAGAGACUAAUUAUAUCGGUAUAUUGUUCUAUUCUUAAGAAUGACUUCUCUUGAAGAAUGGACUGUAUGUCGAUAACAGUAAAGGUAGCUGACUGCAGGGUGCUGCUUAUCAACCAUGUUCUUAUAACCCAAGAAAGUUUUUCAGAUCGAGUUCGUGGGAGAUUCAGUGUGAUAACAAGCAAAAUUAUCCAGGAUAUCAACUGUGUUGUCUCGGCUAGAACUGACGUAAUGUACUUGCAGUUGCCUUGACUUCCUUUUAGCAGCAAGAAAACAAGUCCAAACAAGUUGGUGACCGGUAACAGUAAGCAACAAACUUUGGCAGCUUGGUAUGAGAAACUCAAGCGUAUACAAUUAAGAUUGUUCUGAUCAGUAGUGCAAUUUUGCAUCUCUUCAACAUUGGUCCUGGAUCUCAUUCUGCAUGAUUUGCUAAGUAUCUUCCAUAAGAGUUGCAGGAAGAAACAACCGAUAAAAAUGAGAUGGACAAAUACAAAAAGAUUCUUCCAGAAACAAAGUGUGCUAAUAUCUUUCCACCCUUCCCAAAAUUGAGGUGAAUGGAAAUCUGCAGGAGAACGAAAUACUAUUUUCAGUGGGUAAAGAAACAAAAGUUCUGCAGUAACUGCAGGGGAAAGAAGUGCAAGUGGAAGCGGGAAGAGAGAUCGACCAGAUUCGUCUGCGGUUAAUGACGAGUGAAGAGUACUUUACCCAAAUAGUUGGGGGUGCUCAUUGGAUAAGGUAAAUCCGGGGAAAAGAUUUCGUCGUGUUGGCCACCGCACGCGGUGAUGCAUGGUUUCCUUUUGUAGAUCCAUUAGUUGGACGCAGCAGUGUGUGGGUUUCGUUUCUGUUUCUGAUAUAUCUCCUCUUGGCAUAUUCACCGAACACAAUCACAUAGUUGAGGAUGCGGAUAAUGUGCAGAGUAUUUUGCAUAUGAGAGUUAUUAAGCGUCACGGUAGCACGUUGGAUUACAAGUCCAUGUCUGUCGCGGUCCAGCCCGGCCCAUCCCCUCCCAUCCGGCCCGGCCCGGCCUAUAUAUAAAACCCGGCGCCGUAGGAGUUAUAACUGCUUCCCCGCAAAUGCCGCUCUCCCUCCCCACGGCGAUUCGGGAGUUUCGAUAACGAAUCUUGGAGGCUUCGCCUGCUUUGUUUCAUCUUGGUUUUGUUGGAUUUUGCUGCAGGAAGAUGGUGGUGUUGGUCACGACGGCCGACGUUGAAGCGAGUUCCAGGCGCCUCGGAAUUGAUCCUUCCUUCCUUAGGUUGAUGUGGUUUCUUUCUCGGAAUUGAUCUUUCUUGGUUUCAGUGGAAGUCGCCCCGGUCGAGGACUUUGGCAUCGAAAGGUAAUGGACCUUAUCCAAACCCUAACCCUCUCUUGGCCAGAGAGCUUUUGUUUCGUGUAAUGUUGUUUGUUUCUUGGGUUGAUCUGUUCCUCGUCUUUUUUUUUUUUUUUUGGGGGGCGAAGCUUUUGGCAUCAAAAGGUAAUGUACCUUAUCCUAACCCCAACACUAAGCGUGUCUUGGCCAUAGAUCUUUUCUUUCGCGUAAAGUUAUUUGUUUCUUGAGUUGAUGAUUUGUUCGUUAUUUUCCUUCUGGCGAAGAUUCUGGCAUCAAAAAGUAAUGUUCCUUAGCCUAACCCAGCCCUAUUGACCAGCGAGCUUUUCUUUCGUGUAAUGUUGUUUGUUUCUUGAGUCGAUUUGUUUUUCAUUUUCUCUGUUGGCGUAGAUUUUGGCAUCAAAAAGGUGAUGUGUCUUAUUAUAACCCUAACCCUAAGCAUAUCUUGUCCAGAGAGCUUCGCAACAUCUGGCUCGUUGUUUUGUGGAAAUAGGAGUAUAUAUAUAUAUAUAUAUACACACGAUGUUUGCUUAACUUCCAUCUCCCUCCCUUGUUGAUGCACCUCUUGCUCUCUCAUCCACGAUGGUUGUAGCACUUGAAGCUCAGUCGC